UACAGAGGGUGCAAGCGUUGUUCGGAUUUACUGGGCGUAAAGCGCGUGUAGGCGGCGGCGUAAGUCGGAUGUGAAAUCCCUCGGCUUAACCGAGGACGUGCAUCCGAUACUGCGUCGCUUGAGUGCCGGAGGGGAUGGCGGAAUUCCCGGUGUAGAGGUGAAAUUCGUAGAUAUCGGGAGGAACACCUGUGGCGAAGGCGGCCAUCUGGACGGUAACUGACGCUGAGACGCGAAAGCGUGGGGAGCAAACAGG
RNAcentral lists this ribosomal RNA (253 nucleotides) under uncultured bacterium. RNAcentral describes it as "partial 16S ribosomal RNA". It matches the Rfam family "Bacterial small subunit ribosomal RNA", at positions 524 to 776 of the family's 1533-position model. The record is from RNAcentral.